AGCAGCCGCGGUAAUUCCAGCUCCAAUAGCGUAUAUUAAAGUUGUUGCAGUUAAAAAGCUCGUAGUUGAAUUUCGAGAUCGGCUUACUGGUCGUGCUUUUGUACGUACUGGUAAAUCGGUUUCUCCUUUCUGACGAACUUUAAUGCCAUUAAUUUGGUGUUUUAGGGAAUCAGGACUGUUACUUUGAAAAAAUUUAGAGUGUUUAAAGCAGGCUCACGCUUGAAUACAUUAGCAUGGAAUAACGGAAUAGGACGUUUGAUUCUAUUUUGUUGGUUUCUAGGAUCGGCGUAAUGAUUAAUAGGGAUAGUUGGGGGCAUUAGUAUUCAAUUGUCAGAGGUGAAAUUCUUGGAUUUAUUGAAGACUAACUACUGCGAAAGCAUUUGCCAAGGAUGUUUUCAUUAAUCAAGAACGAAAGUUAGGGGAUCGAAGACGAUCAGAUACCGUCGUAGUCUUAACCAUAAACUAUGCCGACUAGGGAUCGGAUGAUGUUAAUUUUUUCAAUGACUCAUUCGGCGCCUUA
This 520-nucleotide ribosomal RNA is filed under the name uncultured Glomus. RNAcentral describes it as "SSU rRNA". It matches the Rfam family "Eukaryotic small subunit ribosomal RNA", at positions 569 to 1090 of the family's 1831-position model. The record is from RNAcentral. Lineage: Eukaryota; Fungi; Glomeromycota; Glomeromycetes; Glomerales; Glomeraceae.